Molecule: ribosomal RNA, 324 nt
Filed under: uncultured eukaryote
Lineage: Eukaryota
Description: partial 18S ribosomal RNA
Rfam family: Eukaryotic small subunit ribosomal RNA
Source: RNAcentral
CCCUUAGAUGUUCUGGGCCGCACGCGCGCUACACUGACGGAGUCAACGAGUUGUCCUGCAUCGGAAGGUGUGGGCAAUCUUUUGAAACUUCGUCGUGCUGGGGAUAGAUCUUUGCAAUUUUCGAUCUUGAACGAGGAAUUCCUAGUAAGCGUGAUUCAUCAGAUCGCGUUGAUUACGUCCCUGCCCUUUGUACACACCGCCCGUCGCUACUACCGAUUGAAUGGUUUAGUGAGGCCUCGGGACUGGCGCGCUCGAGUAGCAAUACACCUGCGCGCCGGGAACUUGGUCAAACUUGAUCAUUUAGAGGAAGUAAAAGUCGUAACA